Small nuclear RNA from Octodon degus (degu), 107 nucleotides. The record is from Ensembl. NCBI's taxonomy places the organism in Eukaryota, Metazoa, Chordata, Mammalia, Rodentia, Octodontidae.
GUGUCUGCUUCACUAGCACGUACACUAAACUUGGGGUCCUACAGAGAAGAUGAGCAUGGUUCCUGAUCAGGGAUGACAUGCAGAUUCAUGUAUUAGCCUACACUAAA